GAUGAACGCUGGCGGCGUGCCUAAUACAUGCAAGUCGAGCGAACGGACGAGAAGCUUGCUUCUCUGAUGUUAGCGGCGGACGGGUGAGUAACACGUGGAUAACCUACCUAUAAGACUGGGAUAACUUCGGGAAACCGGAGCUAAUACCGGAUAAUAUUUUGAACCGCAUGGUUCAAAAGUGAAAGACGGUCUUGCUGUCACUUAUAGAUGGAUCCGCGCUGCAUUAGCUAGUUGGUAAGGUAACGGCUUACCAAGGCAACGAUGCAUAGCCGACCUGAGAGGGUGAUCGGCCACACUGGAACUGAGACACGGUCCAGACUCCUACGGGAGGCAGCAGUAGGGAAUCUUCCGCAAUGGGCGAAAGCCUGACGGAGCAACGCCGCGUGAGUGAUGAAGGUCUUCGGAUCGUAAAACUCUGUUAUUAGGGAAGAACAUAUGUGUAAGUAACUGUGCACAUCUUGACGGUACCUAAUCAGAAAGCCACGGCUAACUACGUGCCAGCAGCCGCGGUAAUACGUAGGUGGCAAGCGUUAUCCGGAAUUAUUGGGCGUAAAGCGCGCGUAGGCGGUUUUUUAAGUCUGAUGUGAAAGCCCACGGCUCAACCGUGGAGGGUCAUUGGAAACUGGAAAACUUGAGUGCAGAAGAGGAAAGUGGAAUUCCAUGUGUAGCGGUGAAAUGCGCAGAGAUAUGGAGGAACACCAGUGGCGAAGGCGACUUUCUGGUCUGUAACUGACGCUGAUGUGCGAAAGCGUGGGGAUCAAACAGGAUUAGAUACCCUGGUAGUCCACGCCGUAAACGAUGAGUGCUAAGUGUUAGGGGGUUUCCGCCCCUUAGUGCUGCAGCUAACGCAUUAAGCACUCCGCCUGGGGAGUACGACCGCAAGGUUGAAACUCAAAGGAAUUGACGGGGACCCGCACAAGCGGUGGAGCAUGUGGUUUAAUUCGAAGCAACGCGAAGAACCUUACCAAAUCUUGACAUCCUUUGACAACUCUAGAGAUAGAGCCUUCCCCUUCGGGGGACAAAGUGACAGGUGGUGCAUGGUUGUCGUCAGCUCGUGUCGUGAGAUGUUGGGUUACGUCCCGCAACGAGCGCAACCCUUAAGCUUAGUUGCCAUCAUUAAGUUGGGCACUCUAAGUUGACUGCCGGUGACAAACCGGAGGAAGGUGGGGAUGACGUCAAAUCAUCAUGCCCCUUAUGAUUUGGGCUACACACGUGCUACAAUGGACAAUACAAAGGGCAGCGAAACCGCGAGGUCAAGCAAAUCCCAUAAAGUUGUUCUCAGUUCGGAUUGUAGUCUGCAACUCGACUACAUGAAGCUGGAAUCGCUAGUAAUCGUAGAUCAGCAUGCUACGGUGAAUACGUUCCCGGGUCU
Molecule: ribosomal RNA, 1372 nt
Filed under: uncultured bacterium
Lineage: Bacteria
Description: bacterial SSU rRNA
Rfam family: Bacterial small subunit ribosomal RNA
Source: RNAcentral